GAUGAACGCUGGCGGCGUGCCUAAUACAUGCAAGUCGAGCGAACAGACGAGGAGCUUGCUCCUCUGACGUUAGCGGCGGACGGGUGAGUAAAACGUGGAUAACCUACCUAUAAGACUGGGAUAACUUCGGGAAACCGGAGCUAAUACCGGAUAAUAUAUUGAACCGCAUGGUUCAAUAGUGAAAGACGGUUUUGCUGUCACUUAUAGAUGGAUCCGCGCCGCAUUAGCUAGUUGGUAAGGUAACGGCUUACCAAGGCAACGAUGCGUAGCCGACCUGAGAGGGUGAUCGGCCACACUGGAACUGAGACUCGGUCCAGACUCCUACGGGAGGCAGCAGUAGGGAAUCUUCCGCAAAGGGCGAAAGCCUGACGGAGCAACGCCGCGUGAGUGAUGAAGGUCUUCGGAUCGCAAAACUCUGUUAUUAGGGAAGAACAAAUGUGUAAGUAACUAUGCACGUCUUGACGGUACCUAAUCAGAAAGCCACGGCUAACUACGUG
This 497-nucleotide ribosomal RNA is filed under the name uncultured bacterium. Its description in RNAcentral is "partial 16S ribosomal RNA". It matches the Rfam family "Bacterial small subunit ribosomal RNA", at positions 28 to 507 of the family's 1533-position model. The record is from RNAcentral.